This 1035-nucleotide long non-coding RNA is filed under the name Mytilus galloprovincialis (Mediterranean mussel). The record is from RNAcentral. Lineage: Eukaryota; Metazoa; Mollusca; Bivalvia; Mytilida; Mytilidae.
UUUUAUUAAUUUAUAUCCUUAAUUAAAUUUUCAAAAACAACAAAAAAAUAAUUAGUAUUACCCCCGACCGUGCAGGGGCUGUAUAGCCAGUCAAGGUCGUUAAAAACUUCCAUUUGUUGACUUCUUUCCAAUAAAUACAUAGGCUCAAAUAAAACAAAACAUCAUAUUCAUAUUGCUGAUACAUGUAAUAGUUAUCAAAAGUACCAGGAUUAUAAUUUAAUACGCCAGACGCGCGUUUCGUCUACAUAAGACUCAUCAGUGACGCUCAGAUCAAAAAAGUUAAAAAUCCAAAAGUACAAAGUUGAAGAGCAUUGAGGACCCAAAAUGUAACCCAGACAGCUUGAAGGACACCGGAUUUUGAUAAAUUUACAAAUACAAUUCAUAAGCUAAAACUACAUAAAUAAAUAAUAAAAAUCAUCUCUUUCAUCGACAAUAUACCACCAGCCAGGAACAACCAACUAAAACGAGAUAAAAAUGCUAAAUAUAUAGUGGGAAAAUUGUCACCAAGACUGUUGAGUAGAAAGUGAAGAGGUUUUCAAAAUAUUAUCCCGCAAAUGUAAAUAUAAAGAAGAAACUGAAAGGCAGACAAUUACAAGUAUAUGAAAUAUACGAAAAUACGACCAGUUCACGGGACACUGCAAACAACUUUAAAGACUUAUCAACACGAACCCCGCCAUGAACUGAAUUAUUUCAGUUCUUACAUUAACAAACAAUAAGCAGAAUAAAUAAAGGCAACAGUAGUAUACCGCUGUUCGAAACUCAUAAAUUCAUGGACAAAAAACAAAAUCGGGGUAACAAACUAAAACCGAGGGAAACGCAUUAAAUAUAAGAGGAGAACAACGACAUCACACUAAAAUGUAACACACAUAGACAAAAUCCCACGAGAAUAACAAAUAUAACAUAUAUAUAUAUAACAUCAAAACCAAAUACAUGAAUUUGGGAUAGACAAGUACCGUGACACGUCUUAUCGCAAUGUGAAUUUACACUCAAAAAUAAGAGAAAACAAACGACACAACGUUAUAAUGUAAUACACAC